GCAGCCGCCACGGUAAUACGUAGGGUGCAAGCGUUAAUCGGAAUUACUGGGCGUAAAGCGUGCGCAGGCGGUUAUAUAAGACAGAUGUGAAAUCCCCGGGCUCAACCUGGGAACUGCAUUUGUGACUGUAUAGCUAGAGUACGGCAGAGGGGGAUGGAAUUCCGCGUGUAGCAGUGAAAUGCGUAGAUAUGCGGAGGAACACCGAUGGCGAAGGCAAUCCCCUGGGCCUGUACUGACGCUCAUGCACGAAAGCGUGGGGAGCAAACAGGAUUAGAUACCCCCGUAGUCCCUGUCUCUUAUAC
This 302-nucleotide ribosomal RNA is filed under the name uncultured bacterium. Its description in RNAcentral is "partial 16S ribosomal RNA". It matches the Rfam family "Bacterial small subunit ribosomal RNA", at positions 508 to 807 of the family's 1533-position model. The record is from RNAcentral.